This 632-nucleotide ribosomal RNA is filed under the name Agromyces sp. So1Pt_8. Its description in RNAcentral is "bacterial SSU rRNA". It matches the Rfam family "Bacterial small subunit ribosomal RNA", at positions 382 to 1019 of the family's 1533-position model. Lineage: Bacteria; Bacillati; Actinomycetota; Actinomycetes; Micrococcales; Microbacteriaceae. The record is from RNAcentral.
CCUGAUGCAGCAACGCCGCGUGCGGGAUGACGGCCUUCGGGUUGUAAACCGCUUUUAGUAGGGAAGAAGGGCUUCGGCUUGACGGUACCUGCAGAAAAAGGACCGGCUAACUACGUGCCAGCAGCCGCGGUAAUACGUAGGGUCCGAGCGUUGUCCGGAAUUAUUGGGCGUAAAGAGCUCGUAGGCGGUUUGUCGCGUCUGCUGUGAAAUCUGGAGGCUCAACCUCCAGCCUGCAGUGGGUACGGGCAGACUAGAGUGCGGUAGGGGAGAAUGGAAUUCCUGGUGUAGCGGUGGAAUGCGCAGAUAUCAGGAGGAACACCGAUGGCGAAGGCAGUUCUCUGGGCCGUAACUGACGCUGAGGAGCGAAAGCGUGGGGAGCGAACAGGAUUAGAUACCCUGGUAGUCCACGCCGUAAACGUUGGGCGCUAGAUGUGGGGACCUUUCCACGGUUUCCGUGUCGUAGCUAACGCAUUAAGCGCCCCGCCUGGGGAGUACGGCCGCAAGGCUAAAACUCAAAGGAAUUGACGGGGGCCCGCACAAGCGGCGGAGCAUGCGGAUUAAUUCGAUGCAACGCGAAGAACCUUACCAAGGCUUGACAUAACCGAGAACGCCCUAGAAAUAGGGAACUCUUU